CUGAACCAGCCAAGUAGCGUGAAGGAUCACUGCCCUAUGGAUUGUAAACUUCUUUUUUAAAGGAAUAAAGUCGGCAAUGCAUACCCGUUUGCAUGUACUUUAUGAAUAAAAAUCGGCUAACUCCGUGCCAGCAGCCGCGGUAAUACGGAGGAUCCGAGCGUUAUCCGGAUUUAUUGGGUUUAAAGGGAGCGUAGAUGGAUGUUUAAGUCAGUUGUGAAAGUUUGCGG
This 227-nucleotide ribosomal RNA is filed under the name uncultured Bacteroidaceae bacterium. RNAcentral's name for it is "partial 16S ribosomal RNA". It matches the Rfam family "Bacterial small subunit ribosomal RNA", at positions 383 to 607 of the family's 1533-position model. The record is from RNAcentral. Lineage: Bacteria; Pseudomonadati; Bacteroidota; Bacteroidia; Bacteroidales; Bacteroidaceae.